AAUUUCGUCAGACGAAACGGGACUAAAUGUUUAGUUUGUCAACGACCUUUUUUUUCCAUGACGAAGACGAGACAAUGACAAGCCUGCACCAAUGUCCAAAAACACUGACUACGACUAAAUUUACACGCAGUAAUGUGGAUGAAAAAAGACGACAACAACAUGUUUUGCAUAAAAUAAAAUCUAAGAUAAAAUCUCUCUUCAUUUUUGUCUACAAUUGUCUACUUUUUCAUCAUGAAAAGCAUGUUCAGCUGUUACUAAGGA
Etheostoma cragini (Arkansas darter) is the source of this 261-nucleotide long non-coding RNA. RefSeq lists it as uncharacterized. The record is from RefSeq and is a predicted model, not a curated record. NCBI's taxonomy places the organism in Eukaryota, Metazoa, Chordata, Actinopteri, Perciformes, Percidae. The transcript has 3 exons.